AUACGUAGGGUGCGAGCGUUGUCCGGAAUGAUUGGGCGUAAAGGGCGCGUAGGCGGCGCGGUAAGUCUGGAGUGAAAGUCCUGCUUUCAAGGUGGGAAUUGCUUUGGAUACUGCCGCGCUUGAGUGCAGGAGAGGUUAUCGGAAUUCCCGGUGUAGCGGUGAAAUGCGUAGAGAUCGGGAGGAACACCAGUGGCGAAGGCGGGUAACUGGACUGCAACUGACGCUGAGGCGCGAAAGUGUGGGGAGCAAACAGGAUUAGAUACCCUGGUAGUCCACACUGUAAACGAUGAAUGCUAGGCGUAAGAGGUAUCGACCCCUUUUGUGCCGGAGUCAACACAAUAAGCAUUCCGCCUGGGGAGUACGGCCGCAAGGUUGAAACUCAAAUGAAUUGACGGG
This 396-nucleotide ribosomal RNA is filed under the name uncultured bacterium. Its description in RNAcentral is "partial 16S ribosomal RNA". It matches the Rfam family "Bacterial small subunit ribosomal RNA", at positions 523 to 917 of the family's 1533-position model. The record is from RNAcentral.